AGAUCUACGGGGGGCAGCAGUGGGGAAUAUUGCACAAUGGGGGAAACCCUGAUGCAGCGACGCCGCGUGAGUGAAGAAGUAAUUCGUUACGUAAAGCUCUAUCAGCAGGGAAGAGAAUGACGGUACCUGACUAAGAAGCCCCGGCUAACUACGUGCCAGCAGCCGCGGUAAUACGUAGGGGGCAAGCGUUAUCCGGAAUCACUGGGUGUAAAGGGAGCGUAGACGGCUGUGCAAGCCUGAAGUGAAAGGCGGGGGCCCAACCCCUGGACUGCUUUGGGAACUGUACGGCUGGAGUGCAGGCGAGG
RNAcentral lists this ribosomal RNA (305 nucleotides) under uncultured bacterium. Its description in RNAcentral is "bacterial SSU rRNA". It matches the Rfam family "Bacterial small subunit ribosomal RNA", at positions 335 to 657 of the family's 1533-position model. The record is from RNAcentral.